Molecule: ribosomal RNA, 909 nt
Filed under: Triticum aestivum (bread wheat)
Lineage: Eukaryota; Viridiplantae; Streptophyta; Magnoliopsida; Poales; Poaceae
Description: partial small subunit ribosomal RNA
Source: RNAcentral
AUGACGGUUCUCAUAGCCAUGUUCGUCCUUGGGUUCGUUGCAGGAGCAGAGCAAACCGAUGGUCAUCCUCAUUCAUCCGCGUAUGAUGUCACGUGGUCACCGCGCGGUCUUUCGUCAACAAUCCCACCUCUUCAUCCGUCGGACGGCGUGUUCCCGACACAGUGGUGCAACCCCCGGCCACAGCACCUCAAGGCCGACAAAGGGAUCCUCUUUCUCAAGCGCAACCUGUUCGCCGGCGCCGUGCUGCCCGCAGACACCAAGCUGGGCCACGUCAGGGGGACAGGCACCCCCAGCACGGUCACCGGCACAGACCCCGUGCCGCCGCCGUUCGCCUACGGCAAUCUCGGAGACAUACUGGCUUACUACAGCAUAACGCCGGGCUCGGAGCAGGCCCGGCAGGUCGCCAGCACGCUCCGGUUCUGCGGCCGCAGCGACGCACGAGGCGGCGACCAGCCGGAAAAACCACACGUCUGUGCCACCACAGAGCAAGAGGCCAUGGAGUUCGCCGCCGCGGCUCUGGGAGCGGCGUCGGCGGAGCCGCUCAGGACGGUCGUGCACGGGCGCGAGGAGCCGCACAGGUACAAGGUGGCACACGGCGGCGUCGCCGGCAUUGCCGGCGCGGUCGUGCCGUGCCACCCGCUGCCGUACCCGGCGGACGUGCUGUCAAGGUUUUGGUUACCGAAUGAGGCAAUUUUACCGAGGGAGACGGGCAACGUGCGGGCGGUGCGCGUGGAGCUGGUCGGGCAGGACGACCCUUCGCUGGGCGCGACGGCGAUCGCCGUCUGCCACGAGGACACCUCCGGCUGGGACGCCGAGUACUUCGCGACGCUCAACGGGUCCCGCGGCGAGCCGAUCUGCCACUACAUGCCGGACAAGUAUGUGGUGUGGGUAGCCGGUGAAACCCACUAG